This 711-nucleotide ribosomal RNA is filed under the name uncultured marine eukaryote. Its description in RNAcentral is "SSU rRNA". It matches the Rfam family "Eukaryotic small subunit ribosomal RNA", at positions 618 to 1332 of the family's 1831-position model. The record is from RNAcentral.
GUUAAAAAGCUCGUAGUCGGAUUUCAGGGCGGGGCGACCGGUCUGCCUACCGGUACGCACUGGUCGGCGCGUCCUUCCUUCUGGAGACCGUGCCUACUCUUAACUGAGCGGGGACGGGAAACAGAUCGUUUACUUUGAAAAAAUCAGAGUGUUUAAAGCAGGCCAAGAUUGCUCUUGCAUGGAUUAGCAUGGGAUAAUGAAAUAGGACUUUGGUGCUAUUUUGUUGGUUUCGAACACCGAAGUAAUGAUUAAUAGGGAUAGUCAGGGGCACUCGUAUUCCGUCGAGAGAGGUGAAAUUCUCAGACCAAUGGAAGACGAACUACUGCGAAAGCAUUUGCCAGGGAUGUUUUCACUGAUCAAGAACGAAAGUUAGGGGAUCGAAGACGAUCAGAUACCGUCGUAGUCUUAACCAUAAACCAUGCCGACUAGGGAUUGGAGGAUGUUAUUUUGUGACUCCUUCAGCACCUUAUGAGAAAUCAAAGUCUUUGGGUUCCGGGGGGAGUAUGGUCGCAAGGCUGAAACUUAAAGGAAUUGACGGAAGGGCACCACCAGGAGUGGAGCCUGCGGCUUAAUUUGACUCAACACGGGGAAACUUACCAGGUCCAGACAUAGUAAGGAUUGACAGAUUGAGAGCUCUUUCUUGAUUCUAUGGGUGGUGGUGCAUGGCCGUUCUUAGUUGGUGGAGUGAUUUGUCUGGUUAAUUCCGUUAAC